This 515-nucleotide ribosomal RNA is filed under the name uncultured bacterium. Its description in RNAcentral is "partial 16S ribosomal RNA". It matches the Rfam family "Bacterial small subunit ribosomal RNA", at positions 28 to 523 of the family's 1533-position model. The record is from RNAcentral.
GAUGAACGCUGGCGGCGUGCCUAAUACAUGCAAGUCGAGCGAAUGGAUUAAGAGCUUGCUCUUAUGAAGUUAGCGGCGGACGGGUGAGUAACACGUUGGUAACCUGCCCAUAAGACUGGGAUAACUCCGGGAAACCGGGGCUAAUACCGGAUAACAUUUUGAACGGCAUGGUUCGAAAUUGAAAGGCGGCUUCGGCUGUCAUGUAUGGAUGGAACCGCGUCGCAUUAGCUAGUUGGUGCGGUAACGGCGCACCAAGGCAACGAUGCGUAGACGACCUGAGAGGGUGAUCGGCCACACUGGGACUGAGACACGGCCCAGACUCCUACGGGAGGCAGAAGUAGGGAAUCUUCCGCAAUGGACGAAAGUCUGACGGAGCAACGCCGCGUGAGUGAUGAAGGCUUUCGGGUCGUAAAACUCUGUUGUUAGGGAAGAACAAGUGCUAGUUGAAUAAGCUGGCACCUUGACGGUACCUAACCAGAAAGCCACGGCUAACUACGUGCCAGCCGCCGCAGUAA